GCAUAUCAAUAAGCGGAGGAAAAGAAACCAACAGGGAUUGCCCUAGUAACGGCGAGUGAAGCGGCAACAGCUCAAAUUUGAAAUCUGGCCUUUGGUCCGAAUUGUAAUUUGUAGAGGAUGCUUUUGAUGCGGUACUUUCCGAGUUCCCUGGAACGGGACGCCUUAGAGGGUGAGAGCCCCGUACGGUUGGAUACCAAAUCUUUGUAUAGCUCCUUCGACGAGUCGAGUAGUUUGGGAAUGCUGCUCUAAAUGGGAGGUAAAUUUCUUCUAAAGCUAAAUACCGGCCAGAGACCGAUAGCGCACAAGUAGAGUGAUCGAAAGAUGAAAAGCACUUUGAAAAGAGGGUUAAAUAGCACGUGAAAUUGUUGAAAGGGAAGCGUUUAUGACCAGACUUUUUCCAGGCGGAUCAUCCGGUGUUCUCACCGGUGCACUUCGCCUGGUUGAGGCCAGCAUCGGUUUCUGUAGAGGGAUAAAAGCUUUAGGAAUGUGGCUCUUCGGAGUGUUAUAGCCUAUUGUAUAAUACCUUUAUGGGGACCGAGGUUCGCGCUCUGCAAGGAUGCUGGCGUAAUGGUCAUCAACGACCCGUCUUGAAACACGGACCAAGGAGUCGAACAUUUGUGCGAGUGUUUGGGUGUUAAACUCUCACGCGUAAUGAAAGUGAACGGAGGUGAGAGCCGUAAGGUGCAUCAUCGACCGAUCCUGAUGUUUUCGGAUGGAUUUGAGUAAGAGCAUAAAUGUUCGGACCCGAAAGAUGGUGAACUAUGCGUGGAUAGGGUGAAGCCAGAGGAAACUCUGGUGGAGGCUCGCAGCGGUUCUGACGUGCAAAUCGAUCGUCAAAUCUGCGCAUGGGGGCGAAAGACUAAUCGAACCAUCUAGUAGCUGGUUACCGCCGAAGUU
Molecule: ribosomal RNA, 897 nt
Filed under: Castanediella acaciae
Lineage: Eukaryota; Fungi; Ascomycota; Sordariomycetes; Amphisphaeriales; Castanediellaceae
Description: eukaryotic LSU rRNA
Rfam family: Eukaryotic large subunit ribosomal RNA
Source: RNAcentral